AGUGAACGCUGGCGGUAGGCCUAACACAUGCAAGUCGAACGGCAGCACAGUAAGAGCUUGCUCUUACGGGUGGCGAGUGGCGGACGGGUGAGGAAUACAUCGGAAUCUACUUUUUCGUGGGGGAUAACGUAGGGAAACUUACGCUAAUACCGCAUACGACCUACGGGUGAAAGCAGGGGAUCUUCGGACCUUGCGCGAUUGAAUGAGCCGAUGUCGGAUUAGCUAGUUGGCGGGGUAAAGGCCCACCAAGGCGACGAUCCGUAGCUGGUCUGAGAGGAUGAUCGGCCACACUGGAACUGAGACACGGUCCAGACUCCUACGGGAGGCAGCAGUGGGGAAUAUUGGGCAAUGGGCGAAAGCCUGACGCAGCAAUACCGCGUGGGUGAAGAAGGCCUUCGGGUUGUAAAGCCCUUUUGUUGGGAAAGAAAAGCAGCAGGUUAAUACCCCGCUGUUCUGACGGUACCCAAAGAGUAAGCACCGGCUAACUUCGUG
RNAcentral lists this ribosomal RNA (492 nucleotides) under uncultured bacterium. RNAcentral describes it as "partial 16S ribosomal RNA". It matches the Rfam family "Bacterial small subunit ribosomal RNA", at positions 29 to 507 of the family's 1533-position model. The record is from RNAcentral.